RNAcentral lists this ribosomal RNA (1259 nucleotides) under uncultured bacterium. RNAcentral describes it as "bacterial SSU rRNA". It matches the Rfam family "Bacterial small subunit ribosomal RNA", at positions 61 to 1344 of the family's 1533-position model. The record is from RNAcentral.
GUCGAGCGAUGAGUUCCUUCGGGAACGGAUUAGCGGCGGACGGGUGAGUAACACGUGGGUAACCUGCCUCAUAGAGGGGAAUAGCCUUUCGAAAGGAAGAUUAAUACCGCAUAAGAUUGUAGUUUCGCAUGAAACAGCAAUUAAAGGAGUAAUCCGCUAUGAGAUGGACCCGCGUCGCAUUAGCUAGUUGGUGAGGUAACGGCUCACCAAGGCGACGAUGCGUAGCCGACCUGAGAGGGUGAUCGGCCACAUUGGGACUGAGACACGGCCCAGACUCCUACGGGAGGCAGCAGUGGGGAAUAUUGCACAAUGGGGGAAACCCUGAUGCAGCAACGCCGCGUGAGUGAUGACGGUCUUCGGAUUGUAAAACUCUGUCUUUGGGGACGAUAAUGACGGUACCCAAGGAGGAAGCCACGGCUAACUACGUGCCAGCAGCCGCGGUAAUACGUAGGUGGCAAGCGUUGUCCGGAUUUACUGGGCGUAAAGGGAGCGUAGGUGGAUAUUUAAGUGGGAUGUGAAAUACUCGGGCUUAACCUGAGUGCUGCAUUCCAAACUGGAUAUCUAGAGUGCAGGAGAGGAAAGUAGAAUUCCUAGUGUAGCGGUGAAAUGCGUAGAGAUUAGGAAGAAUACCAGUGGCGAAGGCGACUUUCUGGACUGUAACUGACACUGAGGCUCGAAAGCGUGGGGAGCAAACAGGAUUAGAUACCCUGGUAGUCCGCGCCGUAAACGAUGAAUACUAGGUGUAGGGGUUGUCAUGACCUCUGUGCCGCCGCUAACGCAUUAAGUAUUCCGCCUGGGGAGUACGGUCGCAAGAUUAAAACUCAAAGGAAUUGACGGGGGCCCGCGCAAGCAGCGGAGCAUGUGGUUUAAUUCGAAGCAACGCGAAGAACCUUACCUAGACUUGACAUCUCCUGAAUUACCCUUAAUCGGGGAAGCCCUUCGGGGCAGGAAGACAGGUGGUGCAUGGUUGUCGUCAGCUCGUGUCGUGAGAUGUUGGGUUAAGUCCCGCAACGAGCGCAACCCUUAUUGUUAGUCGCUACCAUUUAGUUGAGCACUCUAGCGAGACUGCCCGGGUUAACCGGGAGGAAGGUGGGGAUGACGUCAAAUCAUCAUGCCCCUUAUGUCUAGGGCUACACACGUGCUACAAUGGCUGGUACAGAGAGAUGCUAAACCGCGAGGUGGAGCCAAACUUCAAAACCAGUCUCAGUUCGGAUUGUAGGCUGAAACUCGCCUACAUGAAGCUGGAGUGCUAGUAAUCG